GGCGAGAGCUUUCCAUAAACACCAAGAACGCCGAAAUCCAUCGAGCGGUUUGUCCGAUUUUUGCUCGGGAAGAUUUUAGCCCAUUUCGACUUUUGGGCUAGAUUUCUCGAAAACCGUGAAUCCCACGAGAAAACCGAGGCUACCAGCGAGCUCCACUCGUCGAGAGCUUCGCAACGACAUAAAUUUUGAAUUUUUUCGACACCAUUUUUCGGUGGGUCCCACGAAACUUCGCAGUAUUUUUCCGAGCAUUAAAUGAGCUUAGAAAAUUCUGAAAAAUUUAUGUACUAACCCCCGUGUUAUGGGCUUCGUGUAGGUAUUCUCGAUUCGCGGAAAUUCGACAGUUGACCGGGUCUGCGAAAUUCCGGCCAGACAGACCCGUUACCGGAAAAGUCUCCGAAUUGGACCGAGGUUUUGGCUAGCCCCCCAUUGUCAGACGUCCCGAGCGCGUUCCCGAAGUCGGAAUCGGCAAAGGUGAGCCGGGACAGCCUUCUUCCUCCGCCCAGCCGCCACAGUGAUUGUCGUCAAGUCUGUGAGUAAAAUAUUAAUUUUAAUUGUAAUUUCGAUAUUAUUAUAUGUUCAGCAUGCCCAUGCAUCACUUAUAUGCAUAUAUUUAUGUAGUUAAACUCUAGGCACGAUUUAUGUUGCAUUCAUAACUGUUGAUGUGCCAUGGAUGUUGUUGUGGUAAUUUGGAGCAGUGUGCGUGCAUUGGCGUGCGUGUGAUGUGGUGUGGACUAUGGAUAGGACGGGGUAGUCACGGCUUGAGUAAUUCGCUGGGACCCGAUCCUUCGAGGGGUAGUCACGGCUUGAGUAAUUCACUGGGACCCUCGAUUUGGUUAUUAAGUGGAAGUCCGAGCUUGAGUAAUUCGCUAGCACCAGGUUGGAUUUAAGAGAGCUGUAUAGGGGAUCAGCUCCCAUAUGUUAUGAUUGAUACUACAGGGUGUGUGAGUGCUCCAAAUUACCUUUUUGAUGCUAUGAUGUGAAUUUAUUGCUGAUGUUGCACUUCAUUCCACAGGUUGCAUUAGUUUUAGAUAGUUAUAGAGAUUAUGGUUAAAAUUGAUAUUUUACUCUUUGAGUCGAACGCUCACUCCUGUUCAAAAAUUUUUACAGGCCACAGGAGGAUAUUUUUUGAGGUUAACCUGCUUUCUCCCUCGCAGGUCGAUUACUAUGUUUGUAUAAACUUGUUAAAUCUUAGAAUUUCCGCAUGUGUUAGAAAUGUUUAUUUGAUUUGGGUCUGUAAACUAAAUUAUUAUUUUUGGACCUGUAAACUUAAUAUUCUAUGCAUGUUGGAUGGAUUGGAUGAGGGAGCUGAGCUCCCAUUUAUUUUUA
This is a long non-coding RNA of Hevea brasiliensis (rubber tree), 1326 nucleotides long. RefSeq lists it as uncharacterized. NCBI's taxonomy places the organism in Eukaryota, Viridiplantae, Streptophyta, Magnoliopsida, Malpighiales, Euphorbiaceae. The transcript is spliced from 2 exons. The record is from RefSeq and is a predicted model, not a curated record.